GCCAGUGUUGCUGAGCGGCCAAAAGCAACUGACUGUAAAUCAGUUCCCUCUGGGUUCGGGAGUUCGAAUCUCUCCGCUGGCA
Molecule: transfer RNA, 82 nt
Filed under: Enterococcus sp.
Lineage: Bacteria; Bacillati; Bacillota; Bacilli; Lactobacillales; Enterococcaceae
Description: tRNA-Tyr
Rfam family: tRNA
About the family: Transfer RNA (tRNA) molecules are approximately 80 nucleotides in length.
Source: RNAcentral